GGACUACUCGGGUUUCUAAUCCUGUUUGCUCCCCACGCUUUCGUGCCUGAGCGUCAAUCUCAGCCCAGGGGGCUGCCUUCGCCAUCGGUGUUCCGCCGCAUCUCUACGCAUUUCACUGCUACACGCGGCAUUCCACCCCCCUCUGCCAGAUUCCAGUCCCCUAGUUUCCACUGCCAUUCCCAGGUUGAGCCCGGGGCUUUCACAACGGACUUGGAGAACCGCCUGCGCACGCUUUACGCCCAGUAAUUCCGAUUAACGCUCGCACCCUACGUAUUACCGCGGCGGCUGGCAC
This 292-nucleotide ribosomal RNA is filed under the name uncultured bacterium. RNAcentral's name for it is "partial 16S ribosomal RNA". The record is from RNAcentral. RNAcentral also lists the same sequence under 1 other name.